UGAGGAAUAUUGGUCAAUGGGCGCAAGCCUGAACCAGCCAUCCCGCGUGAAGGAUGAAGGCCUUAUGGGUUGUAAACUUCUUUUGUACCUGAAGAAACCCUUCUACGUGUAGGAGGUUGCCGGUAAGGUACGAAUAAGCAUCGGCUAACUCCGUGCCAGCAGCCGCGGUAAUACGGAGGAUGCAAGCGUUAUCCGGAUUUAUUGGGUUUAAAGGGUGCGCAGGUGGUUGAAUAAGUCAGUGGUGAAAGUCUGCCGCUUAACGGUAGGAUUGCCAUUGAUACUGUUUAACUUGAGUUUGGAUGAGGUAGGCGGAAUGUGUAGUGUAGCGGUGAAAUGCAUAGAUAUUACACAGAACACCGAUUGCGAAGGCAGCUUACUAAUCCACUACUGACACUGAGGCACGAAAGCGUGGGGAUCAAACAGG
Molecule: ribosomal RNA, 424 nt
Filed under: uncultured bacterium
Lineage: Bacteria
Description: bacterial SSU rRNA
Rfam family: Bacterial small subunit ribosomal RNA
Source: RNAcentral